GAGUUUGAUCGUGGCUCAGGAUGAACGCUAGCUACAGGCUUAACACAUGCAAGUCGAGGGGCAUCGGGAAGAAAGCUUGCUUUCUUUGCCGGCGACCGGCGCACGGGUGAGUAACACGUAUCCAACCUGCCCUUUACUCGGGGAUAGCCUUUCGAAAGAAAGAUUAAUACAAGAUGGCAUCAUGAGUCCGCAUGUUCACAUGAUUAAAGGUAUUCCGGUAGACGAUGGGGAUGCGUUCCAUUAGAUAGUAGGCGGGUAACGCCCACCUAGUCUUCGAUGGAUAGGGGUUCU
This 291-nucleotide ribosomal RNA is filed under the name uncultured bacterium. Its description in RNAcentral is "partial 16S ribosomal RNA". It matches the Rfam family "Bacterial small subunit ribosomal RNA", at positions 9 to 293 of the family's 1533-position model. The record is from RNAcentral.